UGGAACCCUUGUGCCUCCUGACAUUAUGUU
Molecule: non-coding RNA, 30 nt
Filed under: Mus musculus (house mouse)
Lineage: Eukaryota; Metazoa; Chordata; Mammalia; Rodentia; Muridae
Source: RNAcentral